GGCUGAUGCUUUUGAUUUGUUGAAGGAGAUGAGGAGGAAGGGGUGUGAGCCUAAUGCAAAUUCCUAUACUAUUUUGAUUCAGGCACUCAGUGCGCAGGAGAAGAUGGAUGAGGCAAUGAGAGUUUUUGUUGAGAUGGAAAGGAAUGGUUGUGAGGCUGAUAUUGUGACUUAUGCUGCAUUAAUAAGUGGGUUUUGCAAGUGGG
RNAcentral lists this unclassified non-coding RNA (203 nucleotides) under Hevea brasiliensis (rubber tree). Lineage: Eukaryota; Viridiplantae; Streptophyta; Magnoliopsida; Malpighiales; Euphorbiaceae. The record is from RNAcentral.